UACAGAGGGGGCAAGCGUUGUUCGGAAUUACUGGGCGUAAAGGGCGCGUAGGCGGCCUGCUAAGUCGAACGUGAAAUCCCCGAGCUCAACUCGGGAACUGCGUCCGAUACUGGCAGGCUUGAAUCCGGGAGAGGGAUGCGGAAUUCCAGGUGUAGCGGUGAAAUGCGUAGAUAUCUGGAGGAACACCGGUGGCGAAGGCGGCAUCCUGGACCAUGACUGACGCUGAGACGCGAAAGCGUGGGGAGCAAACAGG
This 253-nucleotide ribosomal RNA is filed under the name uncultured bacterium. RNAcentral describes it as "partial 16S ribosomal RNA". It matches the Rfam family "Bacterial small subunit ribosomal RNA", at positions 524 to 776 of the family's 1533-position model. The record is from RNAcentral.